RNAcentral lists this ribosomal RNA (480 nucleotides) under uncultured bacterium. RNAcentral's name for it is "partial 16S ribosomal RNA". It matches the Rfam family "Bacterial small subunit ribosomal RNA", at positions 28 to 523 of the family's 1533-position model. The record is from RNAcentral.
GAUGAACGCUGGCGGCGUGCUUAACACAUGCAAGUCGAGCGAUGAAGUUUCCUUCGGGAAACGGAUUAGCGGCGGACGGGUGAGUAACACGUGGGUAACCUGCCUCAUAGAGUGGAAUAGCCUUCCGAAAGGAAGAUUAAUACCGCAUAAUGUUGAAAGAUGGCAUCAUCAUUCAACCAAAGGAGCAAUCUGCUAUGAGAUGGACCCGCGGCGCAUUAGCUAGUUGGUGGGGUAACGGCCUACCAAGGCGACGAUGCGUAGCCGACCUGAGAGGGUGAUCGGCCACAUGGGGACUGAGACACGGCCCAGACUCCUACGGGAGGCAGCAGUGGGGAAUAUUGCACAAUGGGGGAAACCCUGAUGCAGCAACGCCGCGUGAGUGAUGAAGGUUUUCGGAUCGUAAAGCUCUGUCUUUGGGGAAGAUAAUGACGGUACCCAAGGAGGAAGCCACGGCUAACUACGUGCCAGCCGCCGCCGUAA